GCUUCCUACGGGGCGCAGCAGUGAGGAAUAUUGGUCAAUGGCCGAGAGGCUGAACCAGCCAAGUCGCGUGAGGGAAGACGGCCCUACGGGUUAUAAACCUCUUUUGUCGGGGAGCAAAGCGAACCACGUGUGGUUCAUUGAGAGUACCCGAAGAAAAAGCAUCGGCUAACUCCGUGCCAGCAGCCGCGGUAAUACGGAGGAUGCGAGCGUUAUCCGGAUUUAUUGGGUUUAAAGGGUGCGCAGGCGGGCUGUUAAGCCGGCGGUAAAAA
This 269-nucleotide ribosomal RNA is filed under the name uncultured bacterium. Its description in RNAcentral is "partial 16S ribosomal RNA". It matches the Rfam family "Bacterial small subunit ribosomal RNA", at positions 334 to 600 of the family's 1533-position model. The record is from RNAcentral.